RNAcentral lists this small RNA (536 nucleotides) under Histoplasma ohiense. RNAcentral describes it as "hypothetical lncRNA". The record is from RNAcentral. Lineage: Eukaryota; Fungi; Ascomycota; Eurotiomycetes; Onygenales; Ajellomycetaceae.
UAUGCAGAUGAUGUAAUUUACCCAUCUGUUUCAUUGAUGAGGCUAUAUAUAGAGUAUACAUUCAUCUGUUCAGUGGUUGAAGGCUGUCUUUGUGUUGUAUAGUUCAUUAAUCAUCUUCUUGUGUUAAUAUCUCUUUCUUCUGUCUCAUUCUGUUUGCUUCUUUCAAUUCACUGAUUCUCCAAUCUCUUGCUUAGCAAUUCAUGUUGUCAUAUUUAUUAAUCUCUACAACUGUCACUUUCAGCUCUCUUCUUUAUCACCCUCUCUCAUUCAUCUGUCAGAAUUGCCAGUCUUUCUCUAUUUCUUCAUAAUAAAGAGAGAGCUCAAUGUGCUAAUUGCUUAGUGUUCAUCUGAUAUCAAAUCACUUUAAAACUUCAUUGAUUUCAAGCUGUUCCUCUGUUUUAGCUCUUUACAACCAUCCUCUAUUUUCUCUCUGCAUUUUAUCAUUGAUAGCAAGCUUCACAUCAUCAUUUACAUGUUAGAAAGUUAUUACUGACUGGUUAGAUCAGUGUUACAACAUGUCUCAUGCACACAACAUU